Suricata suricatta (meerkat) is the source of this 483-nucleotide long non-coding RNA. RefSeq lists it as uncharacterized. The transcript has 3 exons. The record is from RefSeq and is a predicted model, not a curated record. Lineage: Eukaryota; Metazoa; Chordata; Mammalia; Carnivora; Herpestidae.
AGUGUUACCAACAAGAAGUCUGUCAGUACCUCAAGCAGAAGAGACUAAAAAACUAAACUGGGACCUUGUUUCAUCUCUACCCAGGUCAUCUCUCUGAGCUCCAAGGCUCUCAGCACUCCUCCUCUCUUGGCCAGGCAGCAAGACACCAUUCACUGUGCCCACAGGUCUCUGAGUGCAGUACAGGGGCUCCCUAGUCUGGGAAGCAACCAUGCAAGGCCCUUGUUGAGUGAAGCUGGAAGAAACGGAGCCAACUUCCCAGUAACAUAAGACAAGAAGAUCAUGGUGUCAGAAAGACUUACAUAUUUCAGUCACGUUAGACCCUGUUAGUUUGGCCUGUGAAGUACUAAGAAGAGCAUCCUGUUAGCUUGGGACAGCGGCUAGCAGAAAUGAAUGGCAAUGUUGCAUGAACACUUGAAUUUAAAUCAACCAAGGAAGUUAAAACUAUAAAAUCAAUAUUGUGUUCUCACUCUACACUGAUAUCCU